AAAUGAUAAUUGACAGUUUAAUUUUUGGGUGAUCUAUCUCUUUAAGACACCUGUGUCAAAGCCGCCCACCUUAUGCUUUUCAGCGGCGGUGACCCGUAAUCCCAAAAUUCAGAGAGAUUCUUUUGUCUCAGAAACGACCAGGAGGGUUAGUGGAAACUGAUUCCUGCCUCUCUUGGUGAAGCCGUCUGAACGUGUGCCAGCUCUUUGAGACGGCAUGAGAACAGAAAUAGUCAAUCGAUGCAUCACACAACUGCAGUGACCUGUGCUCAGACUUUGAUGAUUCGUCUUUGGCAGUGCAGAGGUCAUCAGGCGCUUUACCCAAAGCGUUAACUCUCUCCACGGGCAGCCGUCCAGUUCCCAAGCACUGACUCUGAAUCUGCCAUCUGACCGCACCCUUAAUCCAGAGACCUACAAAGACGGCCGCCCACUGAUGCCCGCUGGGGCGUAAUGGACACCCAUAAUGCACCAGUCUCUCUGGAAUGCUUUUGUAAUUGAAGAAUAAGGUCACUUUUCUGGUGAUAAAAGGUUGGGUUUUAGAAAAAAAUCCUAAAGCAUUUGCCUUCAUAAUUGUACUUGCUGGAUGAAGAUCUAUAAAAGUGCACCAUAGCAUCACAGAAUAAGCCACUCAUGGAUGACUGGUGACUAAUAUGAGAAGUGAAGACUCAUUUCAGUCUGUGGUAGACGCUCCCUCUCUGAUCUCCUGGAUGAAGGUGUGACUGUUGGUUAGUAUCAGGCAUUGAGGAACUGCGGGACUCGAACGUUUCAGCAACGCCCUGAGAAACAGCACGGCGAGGGCCAGGUCUGAACAGAACAAACGGUUAAAUUCAGCCAUCGCCACCCAUCGCCACCUUUUGCUAAGUGUGUUAAUGGGUUAUCUGGCCAAAGACUAGUCAUCUUCAUCAAACAUGUCAAGUCACCUCCCUUCAACUCUAGUAAACACUAAGUGGUGGUUUUGGGAAAGUACAGCAUGUGUAAAACCACCACAGACAAACGUCCUGAUGUAAUGAAACAUAAAAGAAGGAUUUGAAAUAUUGAUAAGAUGGUUCUGUUAUGUUUAAGGAUGAUGCAGAAUUGUGAUUCAAUUAGAUUUGAGUGUAAAGAAUAAAGCUGAUCUUCAAAGAAA
Megalobrama amblycephala (Wuchang bream) is the source of this 1123-nucleotide long non-coding RNA. RefSeq lists it as uncharacterized. The transcript has 3 exons. Lineage: Eukaryota; Metazoa; Chordata; Actinopteri; Cypriniformes; Xenocyprididae. The record is from RefSeq and is a predicted model, not a curated record.